Molecule: ribosomal RNA, 450 nt
Filed under: uncultured Glomeromycotina
Lineage: Eukaryota; Fungi; Glomeromycota
Description: SSU rRNA
Rfam family: Eukaryotic small subunit ribosomal RNA
Source: RNAcentral
AGCAGCCGCGGUAAUUCCAGCUCCAAUAGCGUAUAUUAAAGUUGUUGCAGUUAAAAAGCUCGUAGUUGAAUUUCGGGAUUUGUCAGUUGGUCGGGCUUCACUGUCCGUACUGGCUUGAUGGAUUCUUACCUUCUGAAUAACCAGCAUGCUAUUAAGUUAGUGCGUUGGGGAAGCAGAUCUAUUACCUUGAAAAAAUUAGAGUGCUUAAAGCGGGCUUGUGCUUGAAUAGAUUAGCAUGGAAUAAUAAAAUAGGACGGCAUGGUUCUAUUUUGUUGGUUUCUAGGAUCACCGUAAUGAUUAAUAGGGAUAGUUGGGGGCAUUAGUAUUCAAUUGUCAGAGGUGAAAUUCUUGGAUUUAUUGAAGACUAACUUCUGCGAAAGCAUUUGCCAAGGAUGUUUUCAUUAAUCAAGAACGAAAGUUAGGGGAUCGAAGACGAUCAGAUACCGUCGU